GAGAUUAAUUUAUUUUUGAGUAUCGUCGUCUCGUCACUACUUUUCGUGCUGACGACGACAACGCUCAUUAGGAUAUCCGUUCGGCUCUCAGCAGCCAUUUUUCUCGCAUGUAACACGUUUAAAGCCAGUAUAUCUCUUUAUCAACAUCGUUUGAUUCAUGUUCGUGGUAAUGUAUAUAUAUAUAUGAAUGUGUGUAUACGCACAUAUAUAAACUCAAUGUGAUAACUCUUGCAACUAGUUACUUUAAGACUAGCAAACUACUACUAACAGUAACAACAGUGGAACGAUAACUAAAGAAUAAGACAAGAAGAAGACUGGUACAAGGUGGGCCGAAAGUUCUAAGUUUAUCGCUGUACGUGUAACGGGCUCUCAGUUGAUGUUCGCUUUCGUUUAAUUCUUUUACAUCAGCUGAUACAGUGUAAAAACUGUUUAGGCACGUGAAGCAUCGUUCGGAAGUAAAAGCGAUUCGAUUAUCGUCAUUAACGUUAUUGGCAUCGUCGUUAGGUUCUAACCAAACGUUGAUCGUUCGUUCCAAAGAGGGAGAAAAGGAGAGGAAAGGGUAAGGAAGUAAAAAAAAAAAAUGUAUGGAGAGAGCGUUAAUGCAGAAUUUAACGAAGGCUCCACAACCUGCUUUUAAUUAAUUAAAGCAGACGUGACGACGCCACUGGAAUUGAAGCUCGAGUUCUCGUGAAGCACACAACGGACAACUACGACGAUGCGUACACGCGACGUGUCCUCAUCACGAAUAUUCGUGAUGUCAACGAUGAUUCUAAUUUCCAUUUGGGUUGCUAACAUAUAUUUCAUAUUUUUAUCUUUUUAAAGGUCGCAAACCGAAAGGAAUUUCUUUUAUUUUUUUUAUAAAGAAGUCGCCAAACAAAAAUGUAAUUUUGUUGUUUUCGUUAUCAAAAGAUUAUGAAAAUAAAUGCUCGAUCGUUUUUUUUUUUUUGUAAAAUCAACGUUAAUCGGAUUAUCGGAUUCGUUUAUAUUCAUUAUCAUUCAUGAUUGAUCGAUUGUGAAUUAUUCAAAAGCGCGGGUAAUUUAAAUAUCAAUAGUCGAGUAGUUACGCGAAAAUGAUUGUUUUUGUAGAAAGGAGGAGAAACACGUGCGCUUACAUUGAUGGAGAAGAAGUAGAGUGUGGUAGUGGUCGUAGUGUGUAGUGUAGUAAUAAUAAGAGCAGGAGUGGGAGGUUAAGCUAUUUCGAUAGUGGAGGUGGAAGAAAAAUGACGAAAGCUAAGCGCAAGAAAAAUACAAUUCUUUGAGCGAGAUUUUAAUAAAAAAGAAAAAUACUUCGCGCAUUGACAAAAAACGCGAAUGGACGACUUUGCAAUAGUAAAAACCGUAGAAAAGAGAUCACGUGUUACUCGAUAAGAAAAAAAGAUUAAAAUGUUUGCAACCAUUUAAAAAAAAAAAAAAAAAGGUAAAAGCGACGCCAUGAAAUGCGAGUACGAGGCACAUGGCACGUAGCCCACGAACCGAAACACGUCCAUCACAAAACUUCACGUUUCAACAAAAAUUUGAUUGUAUUAAUUUAAAAUAAUUCACAG
This 1544-nucleotide long non-coding RNA is filed under the name Polistes canadensis. Its description in RNAcentral is "uncharacterized LOC106790833, transcript variant X1". The record is from RNAcentral. Lineage: Eukaryota; Metazoa; Arthropoda; Insecta; Hymenoptera; Vespidae.